Molecule: unclassified non-coding RNA, 216 nt
Filed under: uncultured Sebacina
Lineage: Eukaryota; Fungi; Basidiomycota; Agaricomycetes; Sebacinales; Sebacinaceae
Description: sequence contains ITS2
Source: RNAcentral
UACUCUCACUCUCUCUGGUCCUUUGGACUGGGAGUGGUGGACUUGGGUGUUGCGGCUGCAGUGCUUACUGCUGCGCGGUGGCUCACCUGAAAUGCAGUAGUGCACCUCCUGGUUGGACAUAGUACGGCGUGAUAAGUGUCUUCGCCGGCGCCUCGAAAGAGGGUGGCCGAUUGGGAGCUCUGUGCUUCAUAAACCGUCUUCGGACAAUCUCUGACA